Molecule: long non-coding RNA, 163 nt
Organism: Sander lucioperca (pikeperch)
Lineage: Eukaryota; Metazoa; Chordata; Actinopteri; Perciformes; Percidae
Exons: 3
Source: RefSeq, a predicted model, not a curated record
CAGAAAGGAUGUUAGGUGGCCAAACGCGUUUUUUCUGCUUUAGCGCCACCUAGUGGUGUAAGUGGGUCAAUUGUUGCACCUUAGGUCCUUGCGGAGUUUCGGACCAGUCCUGAAAACGGCAACCCCCUACCAUGUACGGUUUAGGCUGUAGUCGGAGUUUUAG